RNAcentral lists this transfer RNA (68 nucleotides) under Ictidomys tridecemlineatus (thirteen-lined ground squirrel). RNAcentral's name for it is "Spermophilus tridecemlineatus (thirteen-lined ground squirrel) tRNA". It matches the Rfam family "tRNA". Rfam says of the family: Transfer RNA (tRNA) molecules are approximately 80 nucleotides in length. Their secondary structure includes four short double-helical elements and three loops (D, anti-codon, and T loops). The record is from Rfam by way of RNAcentral. Lineage: Eukaryota; Metazoa; Chordata; Mammalia; Rodentia; Sciuridae.
GGGGUUGUGGCUCAGUGGUAGAGCACCUGCCUCGCAGGGUGAGGCACUGGGUUCGAUCCUCAGCUCCA